AAGUCGUAACAAGGUAUCCGUAGGUGAACCUGCGGAUGGAUCAUUACCAAAGGAUUUUUUAUCCCAAGGUCUUGUGAACUGUAUUGAACAACACGGUCAGAGGUCUUUGACUUCUGACUGUACACUAAACUUUAUACCCUCAACUUACAUCAAAAUCAUAAACAAUUACAACUUUUAGCAAUGGAUCUCUUGGCUCUC
RNAcentral lists this unclassified non-coding RNA (198 nucleotides) under fungal sp. RNAcentral describes it as "partial internal transcribed spacer region". The stretch from base 1 to 46 matches the Rfam family "Eukaryotic small subunit ribosomal RNA", at positions 1786 to 1831 of the family's 1831-position model. The record is from RNAcentral. Lineage: Eukaryota; Fungi.